This 421-nucleotide ribosomal RNA is filed under the name uncultured bacterium. RNAcentral's name for it is "bacterial SSU rRNA". It matches the Rfam family "Bacterial small subunit ribosomal RNA", at positions 973 to 1390 of the family's 1533-position model. The record is from RNAcentral.
ACCAGGUCUUGACAUAUCCGUGGUAGUGAACUGAAAGGGGAACGACGGAGGCGAAUGCCUUCGAGCGGAUACAGGUGGUGCAUGGUCGUCGUCAGCUCGUGCCGUGAGGUGUUGGGUUAACUCCCGCAACGAGCGCAACCCCUGUGGUUAGUUGCCAACACGAAGGUGGGCACUCUAGCCAGACUGCCGCCGAAAAGGGGGGGAAGGAGGGGAUGAUGUCAGAUCAUCUUGCCCUUUAUGAUCGGGGCUACCCACGGUACAAUGGGGUGAGCAGAAGGGGACGAGGCUGCGAAGCCCACGGAAUCCCGAAAACGCCCCCCAGUUCAGAUUGCAGGCUGCAACUCGCCUGCAUAAAGAUGGAAUCGCUAGUAAUCGCAAAUCAGCAUGCUGCAGUGAAUACGUUCCCGGGUCUUGUACACAC